This 208-nucleotide ribosomal RNA is filed under the name uncultured bacterium. RNAcentral's name for it is "partial 16S ribosomal RNA". It matches the Rfam family "Bacterial small subunit ribosomal RNA", at positions 568 to 774 of the family's 1533-position model. The record is from RNAcentral.
UGCGUAGGCGGGUUCCCAAGUCCGGGGUGAAAUCUUUCGGCUUAACCCGGAAAAUAGCCUCGGAUACUGGGAGUCUUGAGGGAGGUAGGGGCAGCUGGAACUUCCGGUGGAGCGGUGAAAUGCGUUGAUAUCGGAAGGAACGCCGGUGGCGAAAGCGAGCUGCUGGACCUCUUCUGACGCUGAGGCACGAAAGCCAGGGGAGCAAACG